AUCCGGAGGAAUACCAGUGGCGCAAGCGGCGCUCUGGGUCGAGCCUGACACUGAGACGCGAAGGCAUGGGGAGCGAACGGGAUUAGGAGCCCCGGUAGUCCAUGCAGUGAGCGAUGCAGACUGGGUGUGGGUAGCGCAAGCUAUCUGUGCCGAAGCCAACGCGCUUCUCAAUCUGCCGCCUGGGUCUCAAUACGGUCGCAAGACUAGAGCUCGAGGGAAUUGACGGGGGCCCGCACAAGCAGCGGAGAUCUCAAUGGUUUAAUUCGAGGCUACACGAAGAACCUUACCUAGGGUAGACAUGUAGGUGGUAGUGAACCGGAGGGCUUAUGUGACGCUUCGGCGAGCCUACACAGGUGCUGCAUGGUUGUAAACAGCUAAAGCAAAGAGGUGUUCGGUUUCUCAAUCCGAGAGCGAGCGCAACCCUCGGGGUGAAAUACAGGUGUCGCACGCGACUGCCAAAGAGGAGCGGGAGGAAGGUGGGGAUGAAAACGAGUCAGCAUGGCCUUUAUCUCUAGGGCUACACACACGCUACAAUGGACGGUACAGUGAAAUGCGAAGGCGCGAGCCGGAGCCAAUCGAGGAGGCAAAUCGUCUCAAUUCGGAUUGCAGGCUGCAACCCGCCUGCAUGAAGCUGGAGUUGCUAGUAACCGCGAAACAGCCAUAGUGCGGUGAAUAAAAUCCCGGGCCUUGUACACACCGCCAAACAAAACAUGGGAGCUAGUCACGCCUGGAGUCGGGGAGCCAACCGCAAGGAAGCAA
Molecule: ribosomal RNA, 759 nt
Filed under: uncultured bacterium
Lineage: Bacteria
Description: bacterial SSU rRNA
Rfam family: Bacterial small subunit ribosomal RNA
Source: RNAcentral